GUUGUAUUGGUGAGAGCUGAUGGCUUUGCUCUCAGAUGAGGCCGGUGCCAGAAUCAUUAUUUUAUGCCUCGGCAGAUGGCUUCUGCUCAGGGGUUUUAUCUCUGAGUGCAGACAUACGACUAAUCAUCAUUUGCUUUCUCUUUCUCUGCUAACGUAAGCUGGGCAGGAAGCAAUUGCCAGUUUGAUGAUGGUUCAUUAUUGCUAGGUUUGUUCUGUCUGAAACUGCACAGCAAGAGGCAAAGAGGGGACAGAGGAGGAGAACCAACCCAUUAUCAGUGAGAUACAUGGAAAGCUUGGUGCAGGAGCCUACUUUCCACCUGCCUGUCUCUCUUUCAGAGGCAAUGCCUCAAUCCCAUGGUCAAUUCAGCUGACAUCUUUGGGAUGUAAAGACUGCAAAGAGCAAAUGUUGGGGAUGCAUCUAUCCUGCCUUACAUCAGGAUGGUUAGUCUGGAUAACAAGCACCUGAGGACACUCUGGCAAAGGGUGCAAACAGAAUCAUCACCAGUUUUGCAGCACUGCUGUUCUGCAUAUGGUCCUCACAGAUACUUUGGUUGUUAGCAGGGCCAACCCAGGGGAGCUCAGGUGCUUGCAAUGAACCUGAUUGACUAGAAUGGAUGGAGCCAGGAUCCACCCCUUCCCAGCCCUCAUUUAAGGACUGGCAGUGAAGGUAAAGGAAGGAGGGGGAGAAGUGGAUCUGUUAGAGAUCCCUGUGUGCCUGAGUCCUUUCAGAGCAUUUCAGUGGUGGUUUUCAGAUUUUCUUGCUUCCAGCUCCAUUUGAAUGCAGACUCAGGAUACAAGUGCCAGCAGAGGCCUGGUGUAGGCUCUGCUCAUCUUUCACCAGCGCAUGGAACAUCCUUUCAGGAACGAAUUCAAAGCCCGGAGGAAGCUGCUUGCUGAGAAUCACACAGAAGCAGCCACCAAAGGCUGCAGCCUGAGACUGUGCUUCCAACCCCACGGGCACUGUUUGCUUUUCAAAACCCUAAUUUAAUGUAGAAGAGUCUGGUUGCUUUUGUUUGUGAUUGCACAUUCUCCUUUUAAUCCUGUCCUGUGUGUGGCACAUGGAGUCCCCCAGCAGCACAGCGGGGCCUGAUGAGUUGCAGCACUCAAGGAUCCACCCAGAGCUUGGUUGUUUUCGACUGAAAGGCAGCUCAGAGCUCCGCUGCACAUAGCAGCUUUCAGGGGCCACCAGCAAUGAAAUGGGAGCAGACGCACAGGAACCUUUAGGCUCCAGCUGCCCGGGCAGGAUGAUGAGCAGGAGCCCCGUGUGCCCCACAGGGGCCACUUCCACGGCUUGGGAGAGCAGAUGGGAACAAGGUUAAAUUAACAACUGGAAUAAUACAUCAUCUGCUUUAGUUCUGAAGGGGUCCAUCAGCCAAGGGAAGAAGAGGAUGUGCUGGAAGAGCAGGAGAGCUGCCCUCGAUCCCACUGGCGGUGCCUGCAUCAAUUCCUACUUGGCCACUCAGACUUCACAGGCCUUAAAAUAAGAAGAAACGGGCUCAGACUGAAUUGGCAGAUGGUGGUUUCACCAAAAAAGGAGAACAGAGCCCUUACAGCAGCUCGGUCCCAUCCAGCAACGUGCAAACAGGCAGAUAUUACAAGUGAGCCAAUUAAAUCUGGGAAACUGCUGAGGACAAGGACUGUCCCGGUGCUGUGGAUGGUCCCUGCUGUGAGAGGUCCCAUCUCAGCUCUGCGUGGCAUUGCUGCGCCUUCUGCUGCUCCCAUUGAUUCCAAAGGCUGAGUGCUGCUGGACGCAGGCGCUGAGCACCCAUGGGUGGCAGCCGAAGGGCCGGGCACGGCUCCCUCGGGCUCGUGCUGUGGCUCAGGGCUCGUUGUGCUGCUGGG
Molecule: non-coding RNA, 1842 nt
Organism: Coturnix japonica (Japanese quail)
Lineage: Eukaryota; Metazoa; Chordata; Aves; Galliformes; Phasianidae
Source: RefSeq, a predicted model, not a curated record